RNAcentral lists this ribosomal RNA (1144 nucleotides) under uncultured bacterium. Its description in RNAcentral is "bacterial SSU rRNA". It matches the Rfam family "Bacterial small subunit ribosomal RNA", at positions 37 to 1171 of the family's 1533-position model. The record is from RNAcentral.
UAGCUACAGGCUUAACACAUGCAAGUCGAGGGGAAACGAUAUUGGAAGCUUGCUUCCGAUAGGCGUCGACCGGCGCACGGGUGAGUAACGCGUAUCCAACCUGCCCACCACUUGGGGAUAACCUUGCGAAAGUAAGACUAAUACCCAAUGAUAUCUCUAGAAGACAUCUGAAAGAGAUUAAAGAUUUAUCGGUGAUGGAUGGGGAUGCGUCUGAUUAGCUUGUUGGCGGGGUAACGGCCCACCAAGGCAACGAUCAGUAGGGGUUCUGAGAGGAAGGUCCCCCACAUUGGAACUGAGACACGGUCCAAACUCCUACGGGAGGCAGCAGUGAGGAAUAUUGGUCAAUGGACGAGAGUCUGAACCAGCCAAGUAGCGUGCAGGAAGACGGCCCUAUGGGUUGUAAACUGCUUUUAUAAGGGAAUAAAGUGAGUCUCGUGAGACUUUUUGCAUGUACCUUAUGAAUAAGGACCGGCUAAUUCCGUGCCAGCAGCCGCGGUAAUACGGAAGGUCCGGGCGUUAUCCGGAUUUAUUGGGUUUAAAGGGAGCGUAGGCCGGAGAUUAAGCGUGUUGUGAAAUGUAGACGCUCAACGUCUGCACUGCAGCGCGAACUGGUUUCCUUGAGUACGCACAAAGUGGGCGGAAUACGUGGUGUAGCGGUGAAAUGCUUAGAUAUCACGAAGAACUCCGAUUGCGAAGGCAGCUCACUGGAGCGCAACUGACGCUGAAGCUCGAAAGUGCGGGUAUCGAACAGGAUUAGAUACCCUGGUUAGUCCGCACGGUAAACGAUGGAUGCCCGCUGUUGGUCUGAAUAGGUCAGCGGCCAAGCGAAAGCAUUAAGCAUCCCACCUGGGGAGUACGCCGGCAACGGUGAAACUCAAAGGAAUUGACGGGGGCCCGCACAAGCGGAGGAACAUGUGGUUUAAUUCGAUGAUACGCGAGGAACCUUACCCGGGCUUGAAUUGCAGAGGAAGGAUUUGGAGACAAUGACGCCCUUCGGGGCCUCUGUGAAGGUGCUGCAUGGUUGUCGUCAGCUCGUGCCGUGAGGUGUCGGCUUAAGUGCCAUAACGAGCGCAACCCCUCUCCUUAGUUGCCAUCAGGUCAAGCUGGGCACUCUGGGGACACUGCCACCGUAAGGUGUGAGGAA